This 426-nucleotide ribosomal RNA is filed under the name Isaurus tuberculatus. RNAcentral describes it as "partial 16S ribosomal RNA". It matches the Rfam family "Bacterial large subunit ribosomal RNA", at positions 1866 to 2300 of the family's 2925-position model. Lineage: Eukaryota; Metazoa; Cnidaria; Anthozoa; Zoantharia; Zoanthidae. The record is from RNAcentral.
AUGGUUGUAUCUAAAAGCGGUUGAUAAAAGUCGACCUCGUAAGGACAAUUGAAUGGCCGCGGUAACACUGACCGUGAUAAUGUAGCGUAAUCAAUAGCCAAUUAAUUGUUGGCCAGUAUGAAUGGCGCCACGAAGGCCCCACUGUCUUAAGGAAAUUCCCAGUGAAAUUGAAUUCGUAGUGAAGAUGCUACGUGCAAUUUGUUAGACGAAAAGACCCCGUUGAGCUUUACUGGAGCACUUACAUGGCCCUGGCCUUCCCAUGCUUGGGAAUCGGCCGAAUUUAAAUGGGCGGCUUAGAUUAUGUGGCAGCCCCCCGCUGGGGCAAAUGAAACCCCACUCCCCCAUGUCAAAGGGGCUAACCCCCCCCCUUGGGGGGACAGUGUAAGUAGGACAGUUUGGUUGGGGCGACCGCCUUUUAAAGAGUAA